Molecule: ribosomal RNA, 494 nt
Filed under: uncultured bacterium
Lineage: Bacteria
Description: partial 16S ribosomal RNA
Rfam family: Bacterial small subunit ribosomal RNA
Source: RNAcentral
GACGAACGCUGGCGGCGUGCUUAACACAUGCAAGUCGAACGGUGAAGCGCCUUCCUUUUUGGUGGGUGUGGAUGAGUGGCGAACGGGUGAGUAACACGUGAGUAACCUGCCCCCUUCUUCUGGAUAACCGCAUGAAAGUGUGGCUAAUACGGGAUAUUCUGGGUCUGUCGCAUGAUGGGUCUGGGAAAGAUAUUGUUUCGGUGGGGGAUGGGCUCGCGGCCUAUCAGCUUGUUGGUGGGGUGAUGGCCUACCAAGGCGGUGACGGGUAGCCGGCCUGAGAGGGUGGACGGUCACACUGGGACUGAGACACGGACCAGACUCCUACGGGAGGCAGCAGUGGGGAAUAUUGCACAAUGGGCGCAAGCCUGAUGCAGCGACGCCGCGUGAGGGAUGGAGGCCUUCGGGUUGUGAACCUCUUUCGCCAGUGAAGCAGGCCUGCCUCGUUUGUGGGUGGGUUGACGGUAGCUGGAUAAGAAGCGCCAGCUAACUACGUG